UUUGAUCCUGGCUCAGAUUGAACGCUGGCGGCAGGCCUAACACAUGCAAGUCGAGCGGUAGCACAGAGGGAGCUUGCUCUCGGGUGACGAGGCGGCGGACGGGUGAGUAAUGUCUGGGAAACUGCCUGAUGGAGGGGAUAACUACUGGAAACGGUAGCUAAUACCGCAUAACGUCGCAAGACCAAAGUGGGGGACCUUCGGGCCUCAUGCCAUCAGAUGUGCCCAGAUGGGAUUAGCAGUAGGUGGGGUAACGGCUCACCUAGGCGACGAUCCCUAGCCUGGUCUGAGAGGAUGACCAGCCACACUGGAACUGAGACACGGUCCAGACUCCUACGGGAGGCAGCAGUGGGGAAUAUUGCACAAUGGGCGCAAGCCUGAUGCAGCCAUGCCGCGUGUGUGAAGAAGGCCUUCGGGUUGUAAAGCACUUUCAGCGGGGAGGAAGGCGAUAAGGUUUAAUAACCUUGGCGAUUGACGUUACCCGCAGAAAAGCACCGGCUAACUCCGUGCCAGCAGCCGCGGUAAUACGGAGGGUGCAAGCGUUAAUCGGAAUUACUGGGCGUAAAGCGCACGCAGGCGGUCUGUCAAGUCGGAUGUGAAAUCCCCGGGCUCAACCUGGGAACUGCAUUCGAAACUGGCAGGCUAGAGUCUUGUAGAGGGGGGUAGAAUUCCAGGUGUAGCGGUGAAAUGCGUAGAGAUCUGGAGGAAUACCGGUGGCGAAGGCGGCCCCCUGGACAAAGACUGACGCUCAGGUGCGAAAGCGUGGGGAGCAAACAGGAUUAGAUACCCUGGUAGUCCACGCCGUAAACGAUGUCGAUUUGGAGGUUGUGCCCUUGAGGUGUGGCUUCCGGAGCUAACGCGUUAAAUCGACCGCCUGGGGAGUACGGCCGCAAGGUUAAAACUCAAAUGAAUUGACGGGGGCCCGCACAAGCGGUGGAGCAUGUGGUUAAUUCGAUGCAACGGGAGACUUACUGUUUUGACAUCCACAGAAUUUCCAGAGAUGGAUUGGUGCCUUCGGGAACUGUGAGACAGGUGAUGCAUGGCUGUCGUCAGCUCGUGUUGUGAAAUUUGGGUUAAGUCCCGCAACGAGCGCAACCCUUAUCCUUUGUUGCCAGCGGUUUCGGCCGGGAACUCAAAGGAGAUUGCCAGUGAUAAACUGGAAGGAAGGUGGGGAUGACGUCAAGUCACAUGGCCCUUACGACCAGGGCUACACACGUGCUACAAUGGCAUAUACAAAGAGAAGCGACCUCGCGAGAGCAAGCGGACCUCAUAAAGUAUGUCGUAGUCCGAAUUGGGUUUGCAACUCGACUCCAUGAAGUCGGAAUCGCUUAGUACUCGUAGAUCAGAAUGCCUACGGUGAAUACGUUC
This 1365-nucleotide ribosomal RNA is filed under the name uncultured Klebsiella sp. Its description in RNAcentral is "bacterial SSU rRNA". It matches the Rfam family "Bacterial small subunit ribosomal RNA", at positions 12 to 1373 of the family's 1533-position model. The record is from RNAcentral. Lineage: Bacteria; Pseudomonadati; Pseudomonadota; Gammaproteobacteria; Enterobacterales; Enterobacteriaceae.